RNAcentral lists this ribosomal RNA (807 nucleotides) under uncultured Bacillota bacterium. Its description in RNAcentral is "bacterial SSU rRNA". It matches the Rfam family "Bacterial small subunit ribosomal RNA", at positions 96 to 888 of the family's 1533-position model. Lineage: Bacteria; Bacillati; Bacillota. The record is from RNAcentral.
UGGCGAACGGGUGAGUAACACGUAGGCAACCUGCCCCAAAGAGGGGGAUAACACUUGGAAACAGGUGCUAAUACCGCAUAACCAUGAACACCGCAUGAUGUUCAUGUAAAAGACGGCUUUUGCUGUCACUUUUGGAUGGGCCUGCGGCGUAUUAACUUGUUGGUGGGGUAACGGCCUACCAAGGUGAUGAUACGUAGCCAAACUGAGAGGUUGAUCGGCCACAUUGGGACUGAGACACGGCCCAAACUCCUACGGGAGGCAGCAGUAGGGAAUCUUCCACAAUGGACGAAAGUCUGAUGGAGCAACGCCGCGUGAAUGAAGAAGGCCUUCGGGUCGUAAAAUUCUGUUGUCAGAGAAGAACGUGCGUGAGAGUAACUGUUCACGUAUUGACGGUAUCUGACCAGAAAGCCACGGCUAACUACGUGCCAGCAGCCGCGGUAAUACGUAGGUGGCGAGCGCUGUCCGGAUUUAUUGGGCGUAAAGGGAACGCAGGCGGUCUUUUAAGUCUGAUGUGAAAGCCUUCGGCUUAACCGAAGUAGUGCAUUGGAAACUGGAAGACUUGAGUGCAGAAGAGGAGAGUGGAACUCCAUGUGUAGCGGUGAAAUGCGUAGAUAUAUGGAAGAACACCAGUGGCGAAAGCGGCUCUCUGGUCUGUAACUGACGCUGAGGUUCGAAAGCGUGGGUAGCAAACAGGAUUAGAUACCCUGGUAGUCCACGCCGUAAACGAUGAGUGCUAAGUGUUGGAGGGUUUCCGCCCUUCAGUGCUGCAGCUAACGCAUUAAGCACUCCGCCUGGGGAGUACGGUCG